AGUGAACGCUGGCGGCAGGCCUAAUACAUGCAAGUCGAACGGCAGCACAGUGGAGCUUGCUCCAUGGGUGGCGAGUGGCGGACGGGUGAGGAAUACAUGGGAAUCUGCCCAGUCGUGGGGGAUAACGUAGGGAAACUUACGCUAAUACCGCAUGCGCCCUUCGGGGGAAAGCCGGGGACCUUCGGGCCUGGCGCGAUUGGAUGAGCCCAUGUUCGAUUAGCUAGUUGGCGGGGUAAAGGCCCACCAAGGCGACGAUCGAUAGCUGGUCUGAGAGGAUGAUCAGCCACACUGGGACUGAGACACGGCCCAGACUCCUACGGGAGGCAGCAGUAGGGAAUAUUGGACAAUGGGCGCAAGCCUGAUCGAGCCAUGCCGCGUGAGUGAAGAAGGUCCUCGGAUUGUAAAGCUCUGUUGUCUGGGAAGAAAAGCAUCGGGCUAAUACCUCGGUGUUCUGACGGUACCGGAAGAAUAAGCACCGGCUAACUUCGUG
RNAcentral lists this ribosomal RNA (490 nucleotides) under uncultured bacterium. RNAcentral describes it as "partial 16S ribosomal RNA". It matches the Rfam family "Bacterial small subunit ribosomal RNA", at positions 29 to 507 of the family's 1533-position model. The record is from RNAcentral.